AUCAGAGGUGCUUAAAAGCCCCUCCGGAUCGCACUCCACUUACCGUACGAGGCGAUCUGCGUUGUGAAGCUCACAAGGCCGUUCAAUGAGAUUGCGACUGGAACGAAGUUGUCCUGAGGGACGGGGAAGCGUUUGACAGCAAAACCGAAGUAGAAACAUCAGGAAGUAUUGCUAGACGGCAACCACGAGCCAGACAGCAGCAGACCACAACGUCUGCACCCUGUAAGCCUAUCU
This 234-nucleotide non-coding RNA is filed under the name Pseudomonas sp. TTU2014-080ASC. Its description in RNAcentral is "sRNA regulator of biofilms A". It matches the Rfam family "sRNA regulator of biofilms A". Rfam says of the family: Bacterial strain with deleted SrbA had reduced biofilm mass. However, the deletion of srbA had no effect on growth or antibiotic resistance in P. aeruginosa. Lineage: Bacteria; Pseudomonadati; Pseudomonadota; Gammaproteobacteria; Pseudomonadales; Pseudomonadaceae. The record is from Rfam by way of RNAcentral.